CAGUCGCCGCGGUAACACGUAGGUGGCAAGCGUUGUCCGGAAUUAUUGGGCGUAAAGGGCUCGCAGGCGGUUUCUUAAGUCUGAUGUGAAAGCCCCCGGCUCAACCGGGGAGGGUCAUUGGAAACUGGGAAACUUGAGUGCAGAAGAGGAGAGAGGAAUUCCACGUGUAGCGGUGAAAUGCGUAGAGAUGUGGAGGAACACCAGUGGCGAAGGCGACUCUCUGGUCUGUAACUGACGCUGAGGAGCGAAAGCGUGGGGAGCGAACAGGAUUAGAUACCCGCGUAGUCCCUGUCUCUUAUAC
Molecule: ribosomal RNA, 301 nt
Filed under: uncultured bacterium
Lineage: Bacteria
Description: partial 16S ribosomal RNA
Rfam family: Bacterial small subunit ribosomal RNA
Source: RNAcentral